Molecule: ribosomal RNA, 253 nt
Filed under: uncultured bacterium
Lineage: Bacteria
Description: partial 16S ribosomal RNA
Rfam family: Bacterial small subunit ribosomal RNA
Source: RNAcentral
UACGUAGGUGGCAAGCGUUGUCCGGAAUUAUUGGGCGUAAAGCGCGCGCAGGCGGUCCUUUAAGUCUGAUGUGAAAGCCCACGGCUCAACCGUGGAGGGUCAUUGGAAACUGGGGGACUUGAGUACAGAAGAGGAAAGCGGAAUUCCACGUGUAGCGGUGAAAUGCGUAGAGAUGUGGAGGAACACCAGUGGCGAAGGCGGCUUUCUGGUCUGUAACUGACGCUGAGGCGCGAAAGCAUGGGGAGCGAACGGG